AAUUAUGACCAAUUACACGUGAGGACAGCACACUACACACCAAUUCCAGUUGGAUGCUCUCCACUGAAGCGCCCGCUCCAAGAAUACCUCAGGUAUGGCGUGAUCAACCUGGACAAGCCGGCG
RNAcentral lists this non-coding RNA (123 nucleotides) under Heterosigma akashiwo. Lineage: Eukaryota; Raphidophyceae; Chattonellales; Chattonellaceae. The record is from RNAcentral.